This 468-nucleotide ribosomal RNA is filed under the name uncultured bacterium. RNAcentral's name for it is "partial 16S ribosomal RNA". It matches the Rfam family "Bacterial small subunit ribosomal RNA", at positions 28 to 507 of the family's 1533-position model. The record is from RNAcentral.
GACGAACGCUGGCGGCGUGCUUAACACAUGCAAGUCGAACGGAAAGGCCCUGCUUUUGUGGGGUGCUCGAGUGGCGAACGGGUGAGUAACACGUGAGUAACCUGCCCUUGACUUUGGGAUAACUUCAGGAAACUGGGGCUAAUACCGGAUAGGAGCUCCUGCUGCAUGGUGGGGGUUGGAAAGUUUCGGCGGUUGGGGAUGGACUCGCGGCUCAUCAGCUUGUUGGUGGGGUAGUGGCUUACCAAGGCUUUGACGGGUAGCCGGCCUGAGAGGGUGACCGGCCACAUUGGGACUGAGAUACGGCACAGACUCCAACGGGAGGCAGCAGUGGGGAAUAUUGCACAAUGGGCGGAAGCCUGAUGCAGCAACGCCGCGUGCGGGAUGACGGCCUUCGGGUUGUAAACCGCUUUCGCCUGUGACGAAGCGUGAGUGACGGUAAUGGGUAAAGAAGCACCGGCUAACUACGUG